CGAGAGGACCGGAGUGGACGCAUCACUGGUGUUCGGGUUGUCAUGCCAAUGGCACUGCCCGGUAGCUAAAUGCGGAAGAGAUAAGUGCUGAAAGCAUCUAAGCACGAAACUUGCCCCGAGAUGAGUUCUCCCUGACCCUUUAAGGGUCCUGAAGGAACGUUGAAGACGACGACGUUGAUAGGCCGGGUGUGUAAGCGCAGCGAUGCGUUGAGCUAACCGGUACUAAUGAACCGUGAGGCUUAACCUUACAAC
Molecule: ribosomal RNA, 252 nt
Filed under: Escherichia coli
Lineage: Bacteria; Pseudomonadati; Pseudomonadota; Gammaproteobacteria; Enterobacterales; Enterobacteriaceae
Description: partial 23S ribosomal RNA
Rfam family: Bacterial large subunit ribosomal RNA
Source: RNAcentral